This is a non-coding RNA of Paramuricea clavata, 345 nucleotides long. The record is from the annotation of a GenBank genome assembly. Lineage: Eukaryota; Metazoa; Cnidaria; Anthozoa; Malacalcyonacea; Plexauridae.
AUAUAUAGAGAAUAAUACAUGGGUGCGCGGAAACACCAGAUUUAUUUCGAGUGUUGAACAUGAUAUCUCACGAGUGAGCGCAGCGAACGAGUGAGAUAUCAUGUUCAAAACGAGAAAUAAAUCUGGUAUUUCCAAGCACCAUGCAUGGCCAUGUAUUUUCCUGUUUAUUAAAGGACAGUCUUUGAAAAGCGAUAACUUUUACAGAAAAGCGAUAAUUGAAAAGCGAUAAUUUUCACAUGUGAAAUUAUCAUAAAUAAUCUCACAUGUGAGAUUAUCAAUUUUAACAGUGCUCGAAAUCUUUAUAAAGCACUAUUACUUUAUAUAUACACAGGACGAAAAGCGCAC